RNAcentral lists this ribosomal RNA (460 nucleotides) under uncultured bacterium. RNAcentral describes it as "partial 16S ribosomal RNA". It matches the Rfam family "Bacterial small subunit ribosomal RNA", at positions 338 to 795 of the family's 1533-position model. The record is from RNAcentral.
CCUACGGGUGGCAGCAGUGAGGAAUAUUGGUCAAUGGACGAGAGUCUGAACCAGCCAAGUAGCGUGAAGGAUGACUGCCCUAUGGGUUGUAAACUUCUUUUAUAAAGGAAUAAAACGAGGCACGUGUGCCGUUUUGCAUGUACUUUAUGAAUAAGGAUCGGCUAACUCCGUGCCAGCAGCCGCGGUAAUACGGAGGAUCCGAGCGUUAUCCGGAUUUAUUGGGUUUAAAGGGAGCGUAGAUGGGUUGUUAAGUCAGUUGUGAAAGUUUGCGGCUCAACCGUAAAAUUGCAAUUGAUACUGGCAGUCUUGAGUACAGUUGAGGUAGUCGGAAUUCGUGGUGUAGCGGUUAAAUGCUUAGAUAUCACGAAGAACCCCGAUUGCGAAGGCAGCUUACUAAACUGUGACUGACAUUGCUGCUCGAAAGUGUGGGUAUCAAACAGGAUUAGAUACCCUGGUAGUC